Molecule: ribosomal RNA, 407 nt
Filed under: uncultured bacterium
Lineage: Bacteria
Description: partial 16S ribosomal RNA
Rfam family: Bacterial small subunit ribosomal RNA
Source: RNAcentral
UGGGGAAUUUUGGACAAUGGGCGCAAGCCUGAUCCAGCAACGCCGCGUGGAGGAUGAAGGUUUUCGGAUCGUAAACUCCUUUUAGGGGGGACGAAACAAAUGACGGUACCCCCAGAAAAAGCCACGGCUAACUACGUGCCAGCAGCCGCGGUAAUACGUAGGUGGCAAGCGUUACUCGGAAUUACUAGGCGUAAAGCACACGUAGGUGGUUGAAUAAGUCUUUGGUAAAAUCUUCUGGCUUAACCGGAAAACGUCCAAAGAAACUGUUUAGCUUGAGUGUGGGAGGGGGAGACGGAAUUCCAGGUGUAGCGGUGAAAUGCGUAGAUAUCUGGAGGAACACCGAUGGCGAAAGCAGUCUCCUGGCCCAAUACUGACACUGAGGUGCGAAAGCUAGGGGAGCAAACAGG